CAUCCUAGGGGGCGCAGCAGGCGCGAAACCUUUACAAUGCCGCUCAACGGCGAUAAGGGGACCUCGAGUGCCGCGAUACAAUCGCGGCUGUCUAGUUGCCUAAAAAGCAAUUGAUAGCAAGGGCCGGGCAAGACCGGUGCCAGCCGCCGCGGUAACACCGGCGGCUCGAGUGGUAACCGCUAUUAUUGGGUCUAAAGGGUCUGUAGCCGGCUUAGUUAGUCUCUUGAGAAAUCUGGCCGCUCAACGGUCAGGCGUUCAGGGGAUACUGCUAAAGCUCGAGACCGGGAGAGGUGAGAGGUACUUCAGGGGUAGGGGUGAAAUCUUGUAAUCCAAUC
RNAcentral lists this ribosomal RNA (335 nucleotides) under uncultured archaeon. Its description in RNAcentral is "bacterial SSU rRNA". It matches the Rfam family "Archaeal small subunit ribosomal RNA", at positions 319 to 654 of the family's 1478-position model. The record is from RNAcentral.